GGUUUAUUUUGAUUGAUCCGAAAUGCAGCUUCACAGAAAACUGUCUGUGAGGCUGCUUGUCUUUUCAGGAA
Molecule: microRNA precursor, 71 nt
Filed under: Ixodes scapularis (black-legged tick)
Lineage: Eukaryota; Metazoa; Arthropoda; Arachnida; Ixodida; Ixodidae
Description: miRNA
Source: RNAcentral